UGGGGAAUUUUGGACAAUGGGCGAAAGCCUGAUCCAGCAAUGCCGCGUGUGUGAAGAAGGCCUUCGGGUUGUAAAGCACUUUUGUCCGGAAAGAAAUCCUUGGCUCUAAUACAGUCGGGGGAUGACGGUACCGGAAGAAUAAGCACCGGCUAACUACGUGCCAGCAGCCGCGGUAAUACGUAGGGUGCAAGCGUUAAUCGGAAUUACUGGGCGUAAAGCGUGCGCAGGCGGUUUGCUAAGACCGAUGUGAAAUCCCCGGGCUCAACCUGGGAACUGCAUUGGUGACUGGGCAGGCUAGAGUAUGGCAGAGGGGGGUUAGAAUUCCACGUGUAGCAGUGAAAUGCGUAGAGAUGUGGAGGAAUACCGAUGGCGAAGGCAGCCCCCUGGGCCAAUACUGACGCUCAUGCACGAAAGCGUGGGGAGCAAACAGGAUUAGAUACCCUGGUAGUCCACGCCCUAAACGAUGUCAACUAGUUGUUGGGGAUUCAUUUCCUAGUAACGUAGCUAACGCGUGAAGUUGACCGCCUGGGGAGUACGGUCGCAAGAUUAAAACUCAAAGGAAUUGACGGGGUCAUAGCUGUUUCCU
Molecule: ribosomal RNA, 586 nt
Filed under: uncultured bacterium
Lineage: Bacteria
Description: partial 16S ribosomal RNA
Rfam family: Bacterial small subunit ribosomal RNA
Source: RNAcentral